GCAAGUCGAGGGGAACCGACAUCGAAAGCUUGCUUUUGAUGGGCGUCGACCGGCGCACGGGUGAGUAACGCGUAUCCAACCUGCCCACCACUUGGGGAUAACCUUGCGAAAGUAAGACUAAUACCCAAUGACGUCUCUAGAAGACAUCUGAAAGAGAUUAAAGAUUUAUCGGUGAUGGAUGGGGAUGCGUCUGAUUAGCUUGUUGGCGGGGUAACGGCCCACCAAGGCAACGAUCAGUAGGGGUUCUGAGAGGAAGGUCCCCCACAUUGGAACUGAGACACGGUCCAAACUCCUACGGGAGGCAGCAGUGAGGAAUAUUGGUCAAUGGACGAGAGUCUGAACCAGCCAAGUAGCGUGCAGGAUGACGGCCCUAUGGGUUGUAAACUGCUUUUAUAAGGGAAUAAAGUGAGUCUCGUGAGACUUUUUGCAUGUACCUUAUGAAUAAGGACCGGCUAAUUCCGUGCCAGCAGCCGCGGUAAUACGGAAGGUCCGGGCGUUAUCCGGAUUUAUUGGGUUUAAAGG
This 522-nucleotide ribosomal RNA is filed under the name uncultured bacterium. RNAcentral's name for it is "bacterial SSU rRNA". It matches the Rfam family "Bacterial small subunit ribosomal RNA", at positions 57 to 566 of the family's 1533-position model. The record is from RNAcentral.